UUCCCCUAGUAACUGCGAGUGAAGCGGGAAAAGCUCAAAUUUAAAAUCUGUCAGUCUUUGGCUGUCCGAGUUGUAAUCUAGAGAAGCGUUAUCCGCGCUGGACCGUGUACAAGUCUCCUGGAAUGGAGCGUCAUAGAGGGUGAGAAUCCCGUCUUUGACACGGACUGCCAGGGCUUUGUGAUGCGCUCUCAAAGAGUCGAGUUGUUUGGGAAUGCAGCUCAAAAUGGGUGGUAAAUUCCAUCUAAAGCUAAAUAUUGGCGAGAGACCGAUAGCGAACAAGUACCGUGAGGGAAAGAUGAAAAGAACUUUGGAAAGAGAGUUAAACAGUACGUGAAAUUGCUGAAAGGGAAACGCUUGAAGUCAGUCGCGUUGUCCAGGGAUCAACCUUGCUUUUGCUUGGUGUACUUUCUGGUUGACGGGUCAGCAUCAAUUUUGACUGUUGGAAAAAGGUCAGGGGAAUGUGGCAUCUUUGGAUGUGUUAUAGCCCUUGGUUGUAUACAAUGGUUGGGAUUGAGGAACUCAGCACGCCGCAAGGCCGAGUAAUAUUUACUACGUACGUGCUUAGGAUGCUGGCAUAAUGGCUUUAAUCGACCCGUCUUGAAACACGGACCAAGGAGUCUAACAUGCCUGCGAGUGUUUGGGUGGAAAACCCGAGCGCGUAAUGAAAGUGAAAGUUGAGAUCCCUGUCGUGGGGAGCAUCGACGCCCGGACCAGACCUUUUGUGACGGCUCCGCGGUAGAGCAUGUAUGUUGGGACCCGAAAGAUGGUGAACUAUGCCUGAAUAGGGUGAAGCCAGAGGAAACUCUGGUGGAGGCUCGUAGCGAUUCUGACGUGCAAAUCGAUCGUCAAAUUUGGGUAUAGGGGCGAAAGACU
RNAcentral lists this ribosomal RNA (873 nucleotides) under Cortinarius sp. 2 TM02_209. Its description in RNAcentral is "eukaryotic LSU rRNA". It matches the Rfam family "Eukaryotic large subunit ribosomal RNA", at positions 75 to 932 of the family's 3401-position model. The record is from RNAcentral. Lineage: Eukaryota; Fungi; Basidiomycota; Agaricomycetes; Agaricales; Cortinariaceae.